UGGUCAAUUCAGCAAAAAAAUUGAAGCAGAAGCAUUGAAACUUGAAAGCAAGAAACUUAUCAGUCAUGGGAAACAGUAGCAGUAGUGGUGGAUCUGUUUCUGAGCAUAUAUCUCACGCUAGCAAGACUGGAGUCUGUGUAUUACAGUCUAGAGGUCUCAGUGAGUUGCCACAAAAGACCCAGUCAUUGUCUGUUAAUCUCCGUACACUAGAUGCAUCAGAUAACAAGCUAUCUAGUAUUCCUUCUUGGGUUGGCAGCUUUAAGGUCCUCAAAUCUCUUAACAUAUCAAAAAACAAUUUAAGGUCACUGCCUUGUGAACUCUCUGAGCUAAAGAAGCUAGAGACAUUGAAUGUUUCUGCCAACUGUUUGUCGAUGUUUCCUGAUAGUUUUGUAAACUUCAAGGCUCUCAAAACUGUCAAUCUCUCUGGAAAUAAGCUGACAUCUUUCCCGCUCUUCCUCUGUCAACUGACCCAGGUCAAUUUCGUUGACCUCUCAUCAAACCAGAUCACGUCUAUCCCAGUUGGCAUUGAGGUUAUCAGUGCCGUCGAGAUCAACUUGAAUCGGAAUCAGAUUAGCGUCAUUCCGGAAUCAGUGUCUCAGUGUCAGAACCUCAAAGUCCUGAGACUUGAAGAGAACUGUAUUAGUCUAGUUGGUGUUCCACCUACUGUGCUGAGAGAUUCAAAUAUCUCAUUACUUUGUCUUGAUGGCAACCUCUUCCCUCCUAGAGAACUACAUGAAAUGCCUGAAUAUAACAAAUAUAUGGAGAGGUACACAGCCUCCAAAAAGAAAGCUUUAUAGAUUUAUAAUUCUAGACUGCACCUGCAAAGCUAUACUAUACUGUUCUUCAGAGAAAUCCGGAUCUAUCAUUAAUUAUUCUAUUUCUUUUGUCAGCUUUUGUUGACACAUUGUUGUUUAUCAAUAAUUAUUAAUUUAUUUUAGAGAUUAAAUGAUUAAUUUUAGAGGCGUGGUUGGUGGUUACACGUGGGUAACAAUGGCGGCUAGUUCAGAAGAAUGGACGUCCAUAUUGACUCCUAUUCUUUCAGGAAUAAAUCGUUACAAUCCCAACAACAUUGAAUGCCUUGAAAUGUACGUCCAGUUUCAGGUAGAAAAUCCUUCAGUGUAUAAUUUGGAAGCCAACCUUUCUUUGAUGAAACUUUACCAGUUCAAUCCUAAUCAUUUUAAUGUUGACAUAGUGUGCAAAAUGUUACUAAAAUCAAUAAUGGCACUACCAAAGAUUCAUCUUGCUCUACUCAUAUCCGUCCUUCCACUAAAUCAGCAAAGUAAUGAAGAGGUUGUUAAGAUAAAUUCGCUAUGCUCUCAUUUGGAAUCAUGCAGUUUCACAGAGUUCUGGUCAUUGGUAGAAGAGUGUGGUGAAAUUAUUAGUAAAGUGGUUGGUUUUAAGGAUGCUGUGAAGAACUAUAUUGCUGAAUUAGUUAAUAUUACAUAUCAAACUAUACCUGUACCUCAGCUGAGUUCUUACUUAGGAAAUAUGCCUGAAAAGGAAUUGGAACAGUUUGCAGUGAGCAAUGGCUGGAAGAUCAAUGAUGGUGUUGUCUUUAUAAGAGGACAAGAGGAAUUGAUCAAGCCCAAAAGAAUUCUUGCUAAAAUUGAUUUUGAAAGUGUUAGCAAUAUAAUAUCAUCUACUCGUUGAUAAAUGAAGAUUGAACACUGUCUUUAUUAUUAUUAUUAUUGUUUUCAUUUUCAUAAAACUACUUUGUAAUCAUAG
Molecule: RNA transcript, 1725 nt
Organism: Amphimedon queenslandica
Lineage: Eukaryota; Metazoa; Porifera; Demospongiae; Haplosclerida; Niphatidae
Gene name: eukaryotic translation initiation factor 3 subunit K-like
Exons: 12
Source: RefSeq, a predicted model, not a curated record